UGUUCAAAAUUUCCAGAAAAAAAAGGUUGGUUGUAUCCGGAUUGAUGGAGGUACACCUUCUGGAUCAAGGCAACAAUUGGUUACAGAGUUUCAGGAAAAAGAUUCUAUCAAGGCAGCAGUGCUAUCUAUCAAAGCUGGAGGUGUCGGGUUAACAUUGACUGCUGCCAGCACCGUCCUCUUUGCAGAAUUGUCUUGGACUCCUGGUGAUCUAAUUCAGGCCGAAGACCGUGUUCAUAGAAUUGGAUAGGUAUAUUUUCAAACAUGGUUGCUGUUAAGUUGAAAAGAAAGGAAAAUCGUGAUCUCAAAUGCUGUUGUAAUUUAAAUAAAAUCAGCAUCAACAGUAAGAGAGUACAAGCACGGUAUUGUUUUAGGAAUUGUGGUGAUAUCAUAAAAUUUGUGAUAGAUUAUCUCUUAAAAGAAAACAUCUCUUAAAUGAAAAUAUCUCAUUGCUAAGCUUAGCUGAUAGAUAGUUCAGUUUCAACAACAAUCUGUGAUGGUCAUGAGAACACCUUAAAGGUCUCAGAUGAUCAACCGCCAUCGAGAAGCCCUGCAAAGCAGAAAACUCUUGAUCAUUUCGUCAGGAGAUGUGACAACAGCACGAGUGGAUUGGAACAUCAGUCAUCCCCCAAACGUCCCCGGUACUGACCCAUAAGUUCUGUGAAAUGGUUCUCAUAGUGGAAUAUGAUCGCAUGUUGACACUGAUACUCGCUCAGUGGGAAAGACAUAUGAAGUAGUAGCUAAAAUAGGCGGUCAGCACAGCUGGACUUGCAAGUAGCAA
Long non-coding RNA from Lathyrus oleraceus (garden pea), 778 nucleotides. RefSeq lists it as uncharacterized. The transcript has 3 exons. The record is from RefSeq and is a predicted model, not a curated record. Lineage: Eukaryota; Viridiplantae; Streptophyta; Magnoliopsida; Fabales; Fabaceae.